RNAcentral lists this ribosomal RNA (247 nucleotides) under uncultured bacterium. Its description in RNAcentral is "partial 16S ribosomal RNA". It matches the Rfam family "Bacterial small subunit ribosomal RNA", at positions 523 to 769 of the family's 1533-position model. The record is from RNAcentral.
AUACGAAGGGGGCAAGCGUUGCUCGGAAUCACUGGGCGUAAAGCGCACGUAGGCGGGUCGUUAAGUCAGAGGUGAAAGCCUGGAGCUCAACUCCAGAACUGCCUUUGAUACUGGCGACCUCGAGUUCGAGAGAGGUUGGUGGAACUCCGAGUGUAGAGGUGAAAUUCGUAGAUAUUCGGAAGAACACCAGUGGCGAAGGCGGCCAACUGGCCCGAUACUGACGCUGAGGUGCGAAAGCGUGGGGAGC